Long non-coding RNA from Nomascus leucogenys (northern white-cheeked gibbon), 769 nucleotides. RefSeq lists it as uncharacterized. The record is from RefSeq and is a predicted model, not a curated record. Lineage: Eukaryota; Metazoa; Chordata; Mammalia; Primates; Hylobatidae. The transcript is spliced from 2 exons.
UGCCGGGGGGCGGGGACGCGGGCGGCUCCGGGCGGGCGUGGUCCCUCCUGCGGGCGCCUGGGCUGGCCGGGCGGACCGCGGAGAGGGGGAGCCGCGGGGACGCAGCGACAGACUUGGGGUGCUGGCAGCGGCAGCCCAUGCCUCCCAGGGGUUGCAGGCCUGGGCGCCGGGGUUGGACCAGUUUCCCGGGCAUGGCACGCCCUGGUUGGUCUGUACCCAUGGUUUGUGGUGGGGCAAGACGUUAAGUUGGGUGACACCGAGGUGAGCCACGGCCCUCGGCACCAGAUGAGGAACCACUGUCUCAAUAAGUGACACCAGUGAUGCUGUUAAACAAGGACAAUCCGGUUCAUGGAUUGUGACAACGCACACUGACAUCAAGCGGACCCUGCCAUCAGGUACAGAGGGCACCACAGUGACGACCAGGAACUGCUGUCCUUUCAUACCAGGUUUUAGGAGGCUUUACCAGAAGGAAUGAAAAAUGCUGGUGGGCAGUAAGAUCGAAACAGCAUUUGAGGACUUGUUCUGCACAAAACCUUAAAUUCUUCAAGGACUUUGACAUUUGUUUAUUCUUGUAACAAGUUAAAACCUAUCCUGUGUGUUGGUUAGAGAUCUUCAAACUGUAAAUACCUUGAGGCAGGAGUGAGGUUUUUAUCUUUUAAAGGACAGGCCCCUACUCUCCUACGUAACGAGUUUCUAAAAGUGGAUGUGAGCACCAAUCAAUAUUUCUCUGGUUGUUAAAGUCAAGAAUAAAAUGGUAUUUUUAAGCUCA